RNAcentral lists this ribosomal RNA (274 nucleotides) under uncultured bacterium. RNAcentral describes it as "partial 16S ribosomal RNA". It matches the Rfam family "Bacterial small subunit ribosomal RNA", at positions 523 to 796 of the family's 1533-position model. The record is from RNAcentral.
AUACGGAGGGUGCGAGCGUUAAUCGGAAUUACUGGGCGUAAAGCGUACGUAGGCGGUUGGUUAAGUUAGAUGUGAAAGCCCCGGGCUUAACCUGGGAACUGCAUUUAAAACUGGCUAACUAGAGUUAAGUAGAGGGGAGUGGAAUUUCAGGUGUAGCGGUGAAAUGCGUAGAGAUCUGAAGGAACACCAGUGGCGAAGGCGACUCCCUGGACUUGAACUGACGCUGAGGUACGAAAGCGUGGGUAGCAAACGGGAUUAGAAACCCUAGUAGUCC